RNAcentral lists this ribosomal RNA (2926 nucleotides) under Klebsiella michiganensis. RNAcentral's name for it is "23S ribosomal RNA". It matches the Rfam family "Bacterial large subunit ribosomal RNA". The record is from RNAcentral. Lineage: Bacteria; Pseudomonadati; Pseudomonadota; Gammaproteobacteria; Enterobacterales; Enterobacteriaceae.
GGGUUGUGAGGUUAAGCGACUAAGCGUACACGGUGGAUGCCCUGGCAGUCAGAGGCGAUGAAGGACGUGCUAAUCUGCGAAAAGCGUCGGUAAGGUGAUAUGAACCGUUACAGCCGGCGAUGUCCGAAUGGGGAAACCCAGUGCAAUUCGUUGCACUAUCGUUAACUGAAUACAUAGGUUAACGAGGCGAACCGGGGGAACUGAAACAUCUAAGUACCCCGAGGAAAAGAAAUCAACCGAGAUUCCCCCAGUAGCGGCGAGCGAACGGGGAGCAGCCCGGAGUCUGAAUCAGCUUGUGUGUUAGUGGAAGCGUCUGGAAAGUCGCAGGGUACAGGGUGAUACUCCCGUACACUAAAACACACAGGUUGUGAACUCGAAGAGUAGGGCGGGACACGUGGUAUCCUGUCUGAAUAUGGGGGACCAUCCUCCAAGGCUAAAUACUCCUGACUGACCGAUAGUGAACCAGUACCGUGAGGGAAAGGCGAAAAGAACCCCGGCGAGGGGAGUGAAAAAGAACCUGAAACCGUGUACGUACAAGCAGUAGGAGCCCACUAGUUGGGUGACUGCGUACCUUUUGUAUAAUGGGUCAGCGACUUAUAUUCUGUAGCAAGGUUAACCGUAUAGGGGAGCCGCAGGGAAACCGAGUCUUAACUGGGCGUUAAGUUGCAGGGUAUAGACCCGAAACCCGGUGAUCUAGCCAUGGGCAGGUUGAAGGUUGGGUAACACUAACUGGAGGACCGAACCGACUAAUGUUGAAAAAUUAGCGGAUGACUUGUGGCUGGGGGUGAAAGGCCAAUCAAACCGGGAGAUAGCUGGUUCUCCCCGAAAGCUAUUUAGGUAGCGCCUCGUGAAUUCAUCUUCGGGGGUAGAGCACUGUUUCGGCUAGGGGGUCAUCCCGACUUACCAACCCGAUGCAAACUACGAAUACCGAAGAAUGUUAUCACGGGAGACACACGGCGGGUGCUAACGUCCGUCGUGAAGAGGGAAACAACCCAGACCGCCAGCUAAGGUCCCAAAGUCAUGGUUAAGUGGGAAACGAUGUGGGAAGGCCCAGACAGCCAGGAUGUUGGCUUAGAAGCAGCCAUCAUUUAAAGAAAGCGUAAUAGCUCACUGGUCGAGUCGGCCUGCGCGGAAGAUGUAACGGGGCUAAACCAUGCACCGAAGCUGCGGCAGCGACACUAUGUGUUGUUGGGUAGGGGAGCGUUCUGUAAGCCGUUGAAGGUGGCCUGUGAGGGUUGCUGGAGGUAUCAGAAGUGCGAAUGCUGACAUAAGUAACGAUAAUGCGGGUGAAAAACCCGCACGCCGGAAGACCAAGGGUUCCUGUCCAACGUUAAUCGGGGCAGGGUGAGUCGACCCCUAAGGCGAGGCCGAAAGGCGUAGUCGAUGGGAAACAGGUUAAUAUUCCUGUACUCGGUGUUACUGCGAAGGGGGGACGGAGAAGGCUAUGUUGGCCGGGCGACGGUUGUCCCGGUUUAAGCAUGUAGGCGGAUGUUCCAGGUAAAUCCGGAACGUCACUAACGCUGAGGUGUGAUGACGAGGCACUACGGUGCUGAAGUGACAAAUGCCCUGCUUCCAGGAAAAGCCUCUAAGCAUCAGGUAACAUCAAAUCGUACCCCAAACCGACACAGGUGGUCAGGUAGAGAAUACCAAGGCGCUUGAGAGAACUCGGGUGAAGGAACUAGGCAAAAUGGUGCCGUAACUUCGGGAGAAGGCACGCUGAUGGUAGGUGAAGUGACUUGCUCAUGGAGCUGAAAUCAGUCGAAGAUACCAGCUGGCUGCAACUGUUUAUUAAAAACACAGCACUGUGCAAACACGAAAGUGGACGUAUACGGUGUGACGCCUGCCCGGUGCCGGAAGGUUAAUUGAUGGGGUUAUCCGUAAGGAGAAGCUCUUGAUCGAAGCCCCGGUAAACGGCGGCCGUAACUAUAACGGUCCUAAGGUAGCGAAAUUCCUUGUCGGGUAAGUUCCGACCUGCACGAAUGGCGUAAUGAUGGCCAGGCUGUCUCCACCCGAGACUCAGUGAAAUUGAACUCGCUGUGAAGAUGCAGUGUACCCGCGGCAAGACGGAAAGACCCCGUGAACCUUUACUAUAGCUUGACACUGAACACUGGUCCUUGAUGUGUAGGAUAGGUGGGAGGCUUUGAAGUGUGGACGCCAGUCUGCAUGGAGCCAUCCUUGAAAUACCACCCUUUAAUGGCUGGUGUUCUAACGUGGGCCCCUAAUCGGGGUUGCGGACAGUGUCUGGUGGGUAGUUUGACUGGGGCGGUCUCCUCCUAAAGAGUAACGGAGGAGCACGAAGGUCAGCUAAUCCUGGUCGGACAUCAGGAGGUUAGUGCAAUGGCAUAAGCUGGCUUGACUGCGAGCGUGACGGCGCGAGCAGGUGCGAAAGCAGGUCAUAGUGAUCCGGUGGUUCUGAAUGGAAGGGCCAUCGCUCAACGGAUAAAAGGUACUCCGGGGAUAACAGGCUGAUACCGCCCAAGAGUUCAUAUCGACGGCGGUGUUUGGCACCUCGAUGUCGGCUCAUCACAUCCUGGGGCUGAAGUAGGUCCCAAGGGUAUGGCUGUUCGCCAUUUAAAGUGGUACGCGAGCUGGGUUUAGAACGUCGUGAGACAGUUCGGUCCCUAUCUGCCGUGGGCGCUGGAGAAUUGAGGGGGGCUGCUCCUAGUACGAGAGGACCGGAGUGGACGCAUCACUGGUGUUCGGGUUGUCAUGCCAAUGGCAUUGCCCGGUAGCUAAAUGCGGAAGAGAUAAGUGCUGAAAGCAUCUAAGCACGAAACUUGCCCCGAGAUGAGUUCUCCCUGACUCCUUGAGAGUCCUGAAGGAACGUUGAAGACGACGACGUUGAUAGGCCGGGUGUGUAAGCGCAGCGAUGCGUUGAGCUAACCGGUACUAAUGAACCGUGAGGCUUAACCUUACAACGCCGAAG